UGCGGAACCGCUCCUGCCCCGCCGUGUCCCAGAGCUGCAGCCGCACCUGCUGGGGCCAGCCCGGCCCACACGGGGGGGAGAGAGAGCAGGAAAACCCUUUAGGGACAAGGCCACUUCCACACCCAGCUGCAGCAGCAGGAAAACCCUUUAGGGACAAGGCCACUUCCACACCCCACUGCAGCAGCUGAGGUGAGCUUGGCAUCUCGCCCCCAGUCCAACCCCAGCAGAGAUGUUUCCUGGAUUUGUGUAUAAAGUGCUAAAAUUCCCUCCCUGUGCUUGCCCUGCUACUCCCAAACAUCUCUAGGAUUUGGCUCCCACCUCAUUACUGGGGGUAGCCAACAGUACAGCACUGAUGUCCCAGGAUUAUGGAUGGGAUCUCCACAGGACUCAUAGCCUGGAGCAUCUGUGAUCAAAGCUUUUGGGGCAAUUCCCCCAGGACAGACACCAGGCAGGAAAACAACAUCCAGCAUGGAGCAUCCAUGUGAUGGCAGUGGGGAUUUUCAUGUGAUAUGGAAGCAAUGACAACUUAAAUUGCAGCAGAAAUGAAAGCAAGUGUUACACACUGCAGGGUUCAGGUGGUGCAAAGGGCACUGGGUUCUGCCCUCCAGAGCAGCACAGGAGUCACAAAAAUGCUGGAAGAGCUUGACCCCAAGCACAAACUGUUACAAUUAUAUAUUAUAUAUUAUUAUAUAUGACAGCUCCAUGGUCUGGCUGAACCAGCACUGCUCAAAAAUUCCCCAAACACUCCAAAGAAAAAGCUUUCCACACUGGAAGUCCUUUUCCUUUACCCCACAGUCUCUAAAAACAGGAUUGCUCCUCCUUCCCAACAGUUUUCUGGAGGCACCCACUGGUUCCCAGUUUACAGCCACAAAUAAUCCCAGCAGGGAGGCAGAGCACUGGUUAAUGAAGCAGCUCAUCAAGGAAAGAGCAGCUUCUUCAGGACCAAUCACUGCUUGUUUAGAAGAGGAAGAGAAGCUGAUAGAGCACAGGCCUGCAGUCAGAUUCAAAACAACAUCUUAUCUGCAUCAGGGAAUGUCGAGCUGAUGCCCUGGGGCUUAGGGAAGAUUAGGGUUUAUAGUUAAAGCAAUUAGCUCUUGCUUCAUUUUGACGGCAGACUUGAUUACAGAAGCAGAAGUCAGAGCUCUUCUCUAUGCCAGGAAACUCAAGGUGACAAAGUGGGAGCACCUGGGCAGCGUCACAGCAGAGCUGGAAGGAAGAUCAGGCUGAUCCCAACAGCUCCUGGACUUCCCAAGCUUCCACACCCUCCCUGGACAGUGCUGUCACACUGGAAUAUUGCCCAUGAACAUUCACCCAGGGUAAAGUAAUUUGAGGGAAGGUCUCCAGUGAGCAGGUACCACACAGACACCCCUGAAGUGACCCAGGUGUGCUGCAUUUCUACAAGUCCAGAAGUACCUGAGCAUGUCCCUUCUGCCACACAAGAAAACUUUAAACCUCUCAGUCACUAAGAACUGUGAAAAAAUGAAAUUAUCUGCAAAGAUCAGCCUGUUACUGAAGAAUUAUGAGAUCAGCUGUCACUUAAUUUCUUCUGACAUGGCUGGGAGCUGUCAAGAACAGCCUGGACUGGCAAAAUAUUUCCAGCUGCUUGGAUAAACAGCAUCCUGUACCUGCACAGUGGGAAAAAUGAUGGCAAGCUGUGCAUCCUGCCCAGCUGCCUCAGCACCUCACCACCUGCACAUCUCUGUGCUCCCCAAACAGGCCAGUCUGACAUCAUUUGCACCAAACCAGGAAUUCCCCAGCACUUCUCUGGGAGAAAUACCAAGAAAUUAUUUAUUAAUCCUCACUGAAUAGUGAGGAUAAAUCACAGCCUAUUAUUUGUUAAGCACUUCAGCCUAGCAGAGCAAAAUAAAUGCCUGGUCCUCACUCUAAACUUGUUUGUAACAGAAUAAAGCUGGGCCAGAGCUUUU
Passer domesticus (house sparrow) is the source of this 1925-nucleotide long non-coding RNA. RefSeq lists it as uncharacterized. The transcript is spliced from 3 exons. NCBI's taxonomy places the organism in Eukaryota, Metazoa, Chordata, Aves, Passeriformes, Passeridae. The record is from RefSeq and is a predicted model, not a curated record.